GUAGGUGGCAAGCGUUGUCCAGAAUUAUUGGGCGUAAAGCGCGCGCAGGCGGCCCUUUAAGUCUGAUGUGAAAGCCCACGGCUCAACCGUGGAGGGUCAUUGGAAACUGGGGGACUUGAGUACAGAAGAGGAAAGCGGAAUUCCAAGUGUAGCGGUGAAAUGCGUAGAGAUUUGGAGGAACACCAGUGGCGAAGGCGGCUUUCUGGUCUGUAACUGACGCUGAGGCGCGAAAGCGUGGGGAGCAAACAGGAUUAGAUACCCUGGUAGUCCACGCCGUAAACGAUGAGUGCUAAGUGUUAGGGGGGUUUUCCGCCCCCCUUAGUGCUGCAGCUAACGCAUUAAGCACUCCGCCUGGGGUACGGCCGCAAGGCUG
This 373-nucleotide ribosomal RNA is filed under the name uncultured organism. RNAcentral describes it as "partial 16S ribosomal RNA". It matches the Rfam family "Bacterial small subunit ribosomal RNA", at positions 527 to 896 of the family's 1533-position model. The record is from RNAcentral.